RNAcentral lists this ribosomal RNA (306 nucleotides) under Triticum aestivum (bread wheat). RNAcentral's name for it is "partial small subunit ribosomal RNA". The record is from RNAcentral. Lineage: Eukaryota; Viridiplantae; Streptophyta; Magnoliopsida; Poales; Poaceae.
AUGUAUCGCCGAGGGAGCCCGCACCUGAUUACAACUUACAAUGAGAGGGAGCAGGUGACGCCCAGGGAGCUCAGCAUCCGAGUCCCGGCCAUCCUUCGCAGCAAGGAUGAGGAGGGCGUCAAGGGCUGUUGCGUCGCCGGAGCCGUCAACAACUACACCUCCCAGCUCCUCACCUACGGAUCAUCAUCACAAUCGCCAUCUUGUAAAUCUUCCCGCCAAUAUAACCUGACGGAAGCGCUCUUGUUCCUCUCACACUUCAUGGGCGACAUCGACAAGAUGCUGGCCUUCAUUCAUGUUUUGUCGUGA